AGGAUAAACGCUGGCGGCGUGCCUAACACAUGCAAGUCGAACGUCUCUUCUUUCGGGAAGAGGAGUGGCGGACGGGUGAGGAACACGUGGGAACCUGCCCUUCAGUGAGGAAUACCGGCGAGAAAUCGCCGACAAGACCGCAUAGCCCUCUCUGGUGAGAGCCAGAGAAGGAAAGCUUCGCAAGAGGCGCUGGAGGAGGGGCCUGCGUCCGAUUAGCUAGUUGGUGCGGGUAACGGCCCACCAAGGCGAUGAUCGUUAGCUGGUCUGAGAGGAUGAUCAGCCACACUGGGAUUGAGAACGGCCCAGACUCCUACGGGGGGCAGCAGUGAGGAAUAUUCGUCAAUGGGCGCAAGCCUGAACGAGCGACGCCGCGUGGGGACGACGCAUUUCGGUGUGUAAACCCCUUUUUCCGAGGAAGAGAAGGGACGGUACGUCGGAGAAUAAGCAUCGGCUAACUACGUGCCAGCAGCCGCGGUAA
Molecule: ribosomal RNA, 478 nt
Filed under: uncultured bacterium
Lineage: Bacteria
Description: SSU rRNA
Rfam family: Bacterial small subunit ribosomal RNA
Source: RNAcentral